CGGGAAGUAGCUCAGUUUGGUAGAGCACCUGGCUUGGGACCAGGAGGUCGCAGGUUCGAAUCCUGUCUUCCCGA
RNAcentral lists this transfer RNA (74 nucleotides) under Ligilactobacillus salivarius. RNAcentral's name for it is "tRNA-Pro". It matches the Rfam family "tRNA". Rfam says of the family: Transfer RNA (tRNA) molecules are approximately 80 nucleotides in length. Lineage: Bacteria; Bacillati; Bacillota; Bacilli; Lactobacillales; Lactobacillaceae. The record is from RNAcentral.